UACGUAGGGAGCAAGCGUUAUCCGGAUUUAUUGGGUGUAAAGGGUGCGUAGACGGGAUAACAAGUUAGUUGUGAAAACCCUCGGCUCAACUGAGGAACUGCAACUAAAACUAUUAUUCUUGAGUGCAGGAGGGGAAAGUGGAAUUCCUAGUGUAGCGGUGAAAUGCGUAGAUAUUAGGAAGAACACCAGUGGCGAAGGCGACUUUCUGGACUGUAGCUGACGUUGAGGCACGAAAGUGUGGGGAGCAAACAGG
This 253-nucleotide ribosomal RNA is filed under the name uncultured bacterium. RNAcentral describes it as "partial 16S ribosomal RNA". It matches the Rfam family "Bacterial small subunit ribosomal RNA", at positions 524 to 776 of the family's 1533-position model. The record is from RNAcentral.